AGUGAACGCUGGCGGUAGGCCUAACACAUGCAAGUCGAACGGCAGCACAGUAAGAGCUUGCUCUUACGGGUGGCGAGUGGCGGACGGGUGAGGAAUACAUCGGAAUCUACUUUUUCGUGGGGGAUAACGUAGGGAAACUUACGCUAAUACCGCAUACGACCUACGGGUGAAAGCAUGGGAUCUUCGGACCUUGCGCGAUUGAAUGAGCCGCUGUCGGAUUAGCUAGUUGGCGGGGUAAAGGCCCACCAAGGCGACGAUCCGUAGCUGGUCUGAGAGGAUGAUAAGCCACACUGGAACUGAGACACGGUCAAGACUCCUAAGGGAGGCAGCAGUGGGGAAUAUUGGACAAUGGGCGCAAGCCUGAUCCAGCCAUACCGCGUGGGUGAAGAAGGCCUUCGGGUUGUAAAGCCCUUUUGUUGGGAAAGAAAAGCAGCAGGUUAAUACCCCGCUGUUCUGACGGUACCCAAAGAAUAAGCACCGGCUAACUUCGUG
Molecule: ribosomal RNA, 492 nt
Filed under: uncultured bacterium
Lineage: Bacteria
Description: partial 16S ribosomal RNA
Rfam family: Bacterial small subunit ribosomal RNA
Source: RNAcentral